GAGCUGGGAGCUGGAGCACAUGUGGUUUAUUUUGGCGGCUUAUCUGAAUUCUCUUCGACGUUCGUAGGAGCUGUAGAAAUUAAAACAAGACGAAUAUGCAAUCGCAUCACGAGGACAGGGAGGAUUCCAUGCUACUUGUAAGCAGAAUGCAGGCAUUGGUGAGAGGGACUCUGAUUAGGAGAUCAUUAAAGAACUUGAGAGCGGAGUUUGAAGAAAUCAACAAUGAACUGCAAGGAGAAGUUCCCAUUCAUGCACUCACCCAUUGGCCAGCAAAGACACCAUGUAGACCGGUAUUCAGCUCAUCAAAUGAGGGUAUUGAUGUACUCCAGAGACUAGCCAAAAAGGAUUGGCGUAAACCACACCCUUCACCGCAAUCUCAGCAUCCAGUGAGGAUAGAAGGUGAGCCAGCAUCUCACCAAGAUUCUGGUGACUUUGAGUCAGUACUCUCACAGCAAUCUGAGCAUCCAUUGAUUCCAGAGGGUGAGCCAGCAUGUUCCGAAGUUUGUGUUGAGUCAAAAGAACCCUCACAGCAAUCUGAGCAAUCAAGUAGUAUAGAGGGUUAUGAUACAUCUCAGCAAUAUUCAUCCGACUUCCAGUCAAGAUCUUCUUUAUCAUCAUCAGAGAAGUCUUUCCAACAUUCCUCAGGAGAUUCCUUGCUACCAUCAGAUUCAAAUGUAGAGGGCAGGAACCCAAGUGUACACAGUCUCUCAGAGAGAUCCAUUGUUGAUAAUCAAGGUGCAAAUGAAUUAUUCCUUCCAGCAUCAGUCAUCAAUGAAACAGCAGAAAAUGGAGAACAAUUGAUAAUGGGACAGAAACGGAUUAAGGAAGAACAACGUAACCAAAUUGUUUCUAAAUCUCUCUUGCCUGAAAGGUAUGAUACAGAUCAUGAGGUCAAUAUGGAAGGAGGAUCCCCUUUCUGUCUAAGUCAUGGAACAGAAUUUAUCCAAGCACAAACUCUGGAUGGAAGAGGGGAUGGUGAGAAGAAUGAGGGAAGUGAUGAUAAGCAAUGUAAUACCACCAGAAGUAAUGACAGUGAGAAGAUAAUGCAGAGACAGAGUUUGAAUGAAACUGACUUGACCCUUGUGUCUUCACUGGAGGAAUCAUCUAUUACAUUAUCUUCACCAGACAAAGAAGCAGUAUCGAUAGAUGCCUGUCACCAGAGUGACCAAUUGAAUCGUGAGGAUGCUGGGAUUUCAUCAAAUGGCCAGAGGCUUCCAGCUGGACAAGAUGUUCUCGGUCAGUCAUCAAAUGCAACAUCUGGUACGGAUUCAUCGUCCUUACCUCCCAUCUCCAGCCAGUCUUGUAAAGGACCAGCUUUGCAAUCCCGAACCAUGAGCAAUGGUCCACCGAGUGUAGGAGACUUGCCCCUUCCCCAUUCCCAUCAUCAGCAGACAAACCUGGGCCAAAAUGAAGCCAAGGGAUCUAAAACUGUGACUUCUGAGCGAACACUUGUACAGUCACAAGGCGCUACGGGAUUUGGUCCUGAUGACAGCAGACAGGUCCUAGUGCACAAUAGCAAUCACACAAGUGAUUUUGAUGCAUCUGGAGCUGCUGAUAUGACUUCCAUUUGGAGUACAGAUUUGUCAGAUAGUGAUGAUGAAGUGCCAAAGAGAGAAGAUGAAAGAAAGCUGAGGGAGAUGAGAAACAAUACUGCCAUGGAGUUACUGUGGAUACAGCAAGCAAUUGAAAGCAGGAAGAAUUAUCUGAGGCUGAAGAGUAAGAUGACAAUCAGUAAUGGGACAGAUCAGUGAUGUUUGGAGACAGACGAGAGGAUCAGAGACAAGGUCAAGCUUCCAAGGAAGGAAAUCUAGAGCUUGCAAGUAAGAUUUGGGUGAAUUGUUAUAGUCUUGGGCUCUACCACAGUGGAUAUUCUUAUGAUCAUCUGACAUCAUUAUACAAAGCGAGCUUUAGUUUACAACAUUCAACGGUAUAUAGUGAUUUGGUCUAUACCUGCUUUUUUCAUUUGAUUUCUCAUGCUAUAUCUGUUUCCUCCUAUGUCCACUUGGUCUCACACCACUUUUGAUUAUGAACAUAAUUUUCAUUUGACAUAGUGCAAAAUAUUAUAUUGAAGUGAAAAUUAGCCAUGAGAUCAAGUGAUGGUUGGACCAACUGAUUAUGAUGACCAAAUUGAUAGUAGUAGUGGGUUAAGUUAUGAUGGUGUUAGAUGGUCUGAGGAUGAUUUGCUACUAGACCAAGUGGAUCAUACAAACCACUUUUACCGCUUUGCUUGAUACAUCACCCAAGUAUAUCACAGUAAACCACAAGGCUGUCACCCAUAACUGGUAAGAAAAAUAAGUCAACUAUUCCCCUGGAAGGAAUCAAAAUCACUGGCAAGAUUGUACAAAAUCAUGUGGUGGUUGUUUCAUAAAGUUGUGCAAGGUUAUGAAUGGCUUAACGCAUGACUGGUGACCAUUUCUUGUACUAAAUUAUAUUUUCCUAUGUAACUUAGUACUAAAGAACAUGAGCCAGUCUUGCCAUGAGUAACUUUGUGAAACACCCUCCCAUUCUUCUAGGGAAUAUUGAUAACAAAGAAAUUUUUUUUUUUGAAUAAACAAUUCUUUAGUUAAAAAAAUCAUAGGCCUGUUCCUUGAAAAUUGAUUUGUAAUGGAUUGGGCUUGCAGAAUACUAAAGGUUUCAUUUUAACCCAUUACAGAUUGAGCCCAGAGUCUGUUGUAAAUGCAACAAAUAAUCAGCCAAUCUCCUGUGGGUUAUCCUUUAAACAAUUAAUCUUAAUUGAAAAUACAUGUAUGUUCAUGUAGAAAUGUGCAGUGUAUGUUGAAAAGAGUUAAGCAUUUUGAAUUGUCUUUUAGGAAAAAUGCUACCACCAACAGAAUGCGAAAAUUCAAGGUUUUGUUGAUAAAAGUAAUAUGUGUUCGUACAUUUUACUCCUAUUUCCUGCAAAUUUUAGUGUUUAUUAUUACUGAAUUAUUGUUCUUUUUACAGAACCUAUUCCCAAGUAAUUUUCCCUUCAUUAUUUAUAUAUUUUUUUAAAGAUUUUGAUCAUGAUUAAUAUAUGAAUAAUGAUUUUAUGGCUGUGGCAUCAUAUUUAUAAUGUAGGAUAUACCUGACUGGGAGAUGGUGUCCUGUGAAUGAUGAGCCUACGGGGCAUUGUCCCUUAAAUUGUAGGAGAACGGCAUGCCCUAUCAGGUAGAUUUUUAAAAUAAUUUUAAUUGUGUAGGUCUUAGAAUAGGGGUGUGUGAAUUACAUGACCACCAGUGAUCAUAUUCUAUUUCAUGUAGGCCUACAUAUUGUGCAUACUAUGAUCAAUUCUUAAUGCACCUUUCUCCCUCUGCGUGGAGUCAGUUUUGUUGAUAUGUCUACCACAUUUAGAAGUACCACUUUUGAGACAUGUACAUGUAGUAAUUUACAUGUAGGAAAUCAUUUUUAUGUAACUUUGGUAAUUAGCAUCACGAUUUUCAUUUUAUUCAUCCUCAAAAAUUUAACAAAGGGCCCAUUCUAGAUAAUAUGAAUUUAGAAUUGUUGAAAUUCUAAAUUGCAUGAUUCCUGUACAGCAAGGUGCCGUUUCAGGCUUAUAAUGAUUGUCACUGUGUUAUUUUGUAAACUACCUUGGAAACCUUGAUCCCUGUUACUGUGGUAGUUACUAUGAAAUUUUUUUUUAUUGUAACAAUAGACAUAUUACAGAAAGCAGGAAAUCGAUGCGCUCUUCUGACUUAAAGUCUACUUAGUUCUUUUUCCUUUUUUUUAAACCAGUGCCCAUAUGUAUCUUUUCUGCAGGGACCUUUGAAAUCAGAAAUAGGUAAGAAAUUCAGAGUGUUCAAAGACUAAAUUAUCCAGUUUACAAGUUUACCAAAUUUCCUUAUUUAUAUACCGGUAUUACAAAUUGCAUAUGAUUUCAAAUCUUUUAUCAACCAAGUAUAACAAUGGCGUUAAAAAUACCAAGUAGAAUUAGUAAAUAUUCUUCCUUGACUUCAUCAGCUCGUAAUGUUGUGAUGUUCAUUGUAUAGUGUAUAUGGGUAAUUGGGUAUACCCUUAGUUAUAUAUGUACAUGUACAUGUAUUCUCUCUGUUUGGACUUUGUAAUUUCUCAGCUGGAGUAGCUAUGUUCAAGCAAGAAGCGAAGAAUCAUAAAACCAGGAGCUUGCAAAUAUAUUAGAUAUUAGAGUGAAUGCAGAAUAUCAUAAGAGGUGUGGCUCAGUGGAAUAGUCUUUGGACUUUGAACCACAAAGUCCGGAGUUCAAAUCCCACCGCAGCACUAGCAUCCUUUGGCAAGGUGUUUAUCUUCAUUUGCCACUCUUUACCCUGGUAUAGUAAACGGAUACCCGGUAGGUAGGAAUUCAUUGAAUGCUCAAUGCUCCCGAUCAGGGUAGCUAUGCUAAAGCCCGGGUAAUAGUAUGCAAUGCUAAGGAACAUUUGAAAACGAAAUGUUGCAUAUUAUUAUUAUUGAUCUCCAUGGAGAUCAGCUGUACGUCACAGUGUAAAAAGGUUUGUAACUCGACGAAAGAAGCAUCCUGAUGAUAUGCGGGUAGCUAGAAAACGUGUCAACAGGUGAAUGCUAAUGACUUGACAGCUAGUUUCUUCUGCCCCACGUGCAUAAGAAAAUGUAAAUCUACGAUUGGCAUUGACAGCCCUUCCAAGACUCAAUAAUCAUGCAAGCAGUCAUCUUACUUUAUUUGAAGGGAUUGCUGAGAGAUUAAUAUUACAAUGGUUCGGGCAGACAAAGUCAAGGAAGAAAGAUGAAAAUUCCUACAUGCACAUGGUAUUGCAUGCAUUUCCUUGGUCCUAUUGGUUGAUGAUAUCUUUAAAGAAAAUUUAGUACAUAACUGGUACGAAAUGUGUGAUUCUGUGAAUAUCUUAUAAUUUCUUUAUUCAUUGGUCCAUUAGUCUGCUGCAAAUUGCAGCAAUUACCAAGAGCAUCAGGCAAAGGAUGCUGAGCCCUAUGGGAAAAUUACGACAGUUGUAAUUUAUGUAUGAAACAGACCCCUGACCUGUGUGUUUUGCACACAAAAAUUGUACCAUAUGGAUUGCACAAAAUAAAAUUCCUGUUAUUAAUAUCUUCAUUAAUUUGUAUCAAUAUAGUUCUUUUUUUGUAAUAAUUAUGUUUACCUAAAUAUUGCAUAAACUACAGGAUUAUUAUUUUUGUCUACAGUAGGUUAUAUUGUAUAAACUACCAGAUUGUUAUGAGAGACUGCAUGAAUCAUUAUGAAUCUUGCGUCAGUAUGAUCACUCUGCUGCUCCCACCUUUAUCCAUCAAACCAUAGAGCUGGUUCAUAACUUCUGGAGAUCAGUGCACCUUGCAUGAAGACAACCUGGGUCAAGUAACAUAAAGCUUAAUGAUUAAUCAUGGGGCUGAUUUUGACGAUUGAUCAUACACAAGGAUUUUUGUACUCAUUCAUAGAAAUCAACCUCACAAUCAAGUGAUAAGCUUCAUGUUGCAGUGCCCUGAUCUGCUUUACUUCAUCGUUCAUGUCAUGGAAGUGUAUUAAUCAACAAUUGAAACUAGAAUCUGCUAUCAAGGAUCGGAAUUCAUGUUGGUCAGAAGUCAUCACUUGAUGUCUACUUGAUACAGAUUUUUCAACAUCAAAUAAAAAAUAUGUCAAGCUUAAUUCCUGGUGGUCAUGUCAUAGUUUAGGAAUGUCUGGCUGGGAGAUGGUGACCUGUGAAUUCUGUGCCCACGGGGCCUUGUCCCUCAAAUUGUGGGUGAACGGCACGCCCAGUCAGACUUUAGGUUUUGUGUUGUUUUUUGUAGGGUGUAGCACAUUGCGCCUUGGCAAAAGUUUGGGCCAUGUUUUUCAGCUUGAAUCCGGGAAUAGGCUUCCUUGCCUUUCCAAUGUUCCAUUUUCAGCAUGGAAAAACAACAGUGAAUGCAGGCAAGCCACUGUGAAGAAGCUUAUCAGGAUUUGGCUGAAGGACAUGGCCUAGACUUCUGUUCAGGUGGUUUAAAUACAGAUGCCACUGCCAUCUUUUGCUAUUAGCCAAGUGCUCUCAAUGUUAAUGUCAUUUUUGUAAGAAUAAAGGGUUCAUCAUGAAUCUAUUAAACAGGA
Molecule: RNA transcript, 6001 nt
Organism: Lytechinus variegatus (green sea urchin)
Lineage: Eukaryota; Metazoa; Echinodermata; Echinoidea; Temnopleuroida; Toxopneustidae
Exons: 8
Source: RefSeq, a predicted model, not a curated record